CCUACGGGAGGCAGCAGUGGGGAAUAUUGGACAAUGGAGGCAACUCUGAUCCAGCAAUGCCGCGUGUGUGAUGAAGGCCCUAGGGUUGUAAAGCACUUUCAACUGUGAAGAUAAUGACGGUAGCAGUAGAAGAAACCCCGGCUAACUCCGUGCCAGCAGCCGCGGUAAUACGGAGGGGGUUAGCGUUGUUCGGAAUUACUGGGCGUAAAGCGUACGUAGGCGGAUUAAUAAGUUAGAGGUGAAAUCCCAGGGCUCAACCCUGGAACUGCCUUUAAAACUGUUAGUCUUGAGAUCGAGAGAGGUGAGUGGAAUUCCAAGUGUAGAGGUGAAAUUCGUAGAUAUUUGGAGGAACACCAGUGGCGAAGGCGGCUCACUGGCUCGAUACUGACGCUGAGGUACGAAAGUGUGGGGAGCAAACAGGAUUAGAUACCCUGGUAGUCCACACCGUAAACGAUGAAUGCCAGACGUCAGCAAGCAUGCUUGUUGGUGUCACACCUAACGGAUUAAGCAUUCCGCCUGGGGAGUACGGUCGCAAGAUUAAAACUCAAAGGAAUUGACGG
This 560-nucleotide ribosomal RNA is filed under the name uncultured bacterium. RNAcentral's name for it is "bacterial SSU rRNA". It matches the Rfam family "Bacterial small subunit ribosomal RNA", at positions 338 to 916 of the family's 1533-position model. The record is from RNAcentral.